RNAcentral lists this ribosomal RNA (484 nucleotides) under uncultured bacterium. RNAcentral describes it as "partial 16S ribosomal RNA". It matches the Rfam family "Bacterial small subunit ribosomal RNA", at positions 30 to 507 of the family's 1533-position model. The record is from RNAcentral.
AUUGAACGCUAGCGGGAUGCUUUACACAUGCAAGUCGAACGGCAGCGCGGACUUCGGUCUGGCGGCGAGUGGCGAACGGGUGAGUAAUGUAUCGGAACGUGCCCAGUAGCGGGGGAUAACUACGCGAAAGCGUAGCUAAUACCGCAUACGCCCUGCGGGGGAAAGCAGGGGAUCGUAAGACCUUGCACUAUUGGAGCGGCCGAUAUCGGAUUAGCUAGUUGGUGAGGUAACGGCUCACCAAGGCGACGAUCCGUAGCUGGUUUGAGAGGACGACCAGCCACACUGGGACUGAGACACGGCCCAGACUCCUACGGGAGGCAGCAGUGGGGAAUUUUGGACAAUGGGGGCAACCUUGAUCCAGCCAUCCCGCGUGUGCGAUGAAGGCCUUCGGGUUGUAAAGCACUUUUGGCAGGAAAGAAACGUCGCGGGCUAAUACCCCGUGGAACUGACGGUACCUGCAGAAUAAGCACCGGCUAACUACGUG